UUUUGUGGACCCGAGUCUGAUCUUAUUUAUUCUGGACUUUUGUUUUGCCGUUUUGACUGGAUCGGGCGGGUUAUAUUGGUAUUGGGCAGGAAAAUUUGUGGUUGGGUACAUGUACGCAUUCAGGGAGAAAGAGUAUUACCUUGGUUGUGCAUGUGACGAGUUAUAUGCACCUACAUUGGCUCCCUUCUCUUUAUAUGGCUUCACUCUUGGGUCGCAAUUUUUUCGAGGUAACCAAUUUAGUCGAUUUUUGGAAGUGAUGAAUUUCGAAAUUUCUGCAACUUCAUUCGAUUCGUACGGUAUACUCUUGUCAUCAGGUAUACUGGAGAAGCUGGGUAUGGAACCGCAAUGGGUUAGGAUUGGCAAGUUCAAGAAAGCAGGGGACCAAGUGAUACGAAAGACAAUCUCUGAGCCGCAUCUCGAGGUCCUGAACAGCAUGCUCGAUGGCCGAUACGAAAAUUGGGUUGAAACUGUUUCUUCCGCCACAGGUAACAAUAAAGAUAAAACCUCUGUAGCUACAAUAUGUGCACAUGACUUAUAGAAACUGGUAAAACGAGCAGGAAAGACGAGAGAGGAAGUGGAAAGCUUCAUUAAUGAAGGUGUGUACGAGAUGGAGCGGGUGAAAGAAGCGGGGUUGAUAACUGACAUACUCUACGAAGAGGACGUAAGUUAAUUAGUUCCGUCACGAAAUAGUUGCAAGAAAAUUUACUGUGACAUAAAAAGUUUAUAUCGAAAGUCGCUCCUCUAAUACCUGAAAUCCUGGCUACGCCACUGUAUGUAUGUAGGUGAUGUCGAUGUUGAAAGCGAGACUUGGAGUUCCAAAGGAGAAAGAUCUGCCUACUGUUGACUAUAAGUUCGUACUAAACCCUUAACUCUAAAGUCUAAAUCUUUGAUUUAUACACGAAAGUAAAUGAAUGAAAAAAUGAGUGAACAAAAUGUAGGCGAUACUCGAAAGUAACAAAUUGGACACUGGGGUUAAACGCCGGAGAAGAUUCAAUAGCUGUGAUCCGAGCAAGUGGCAUGGUCGUCGGUAAAUGGGGUAUAUUGAACUUUCCUGGCUCUGCCAUAACUCCCGACAACAUCAUAAAACAGUUUCGUAUAAUCCGAGGUAUUUCACCGAAUGCAAUACUUGAUCGAUCUCAUCACAGUCAUUUUUUCUCCUUUUCUCUUAAUUCCGGACUGUGUUUAUUGUUUUUGGCAGACUCGAAGAAAAUCAAAGCAGUAAUCUUCAGGAUCGAUUGCUGUGGCGGCGAGGCUCUUGCAUCAGAUAUGUAAGUGAUACGAGAGUUGGUUCACCUACUUAACUCAUUCACCCUAAUGACGACUAAUUUCAUGGUUUGAUUCAUGUGGCAGAAUAUGGAAGGAGAUGCAGCUACUGGCGAAAGAAAAACCGGUUAUAGCAUCACUGUCUGACAUGGCAGCCAGUGGCGGCUACUACAUUGCGAUGGGAGCAACUGCCAUCGUCGCUGAGAAGUUGUCGGUAGCUUCUUCGAUCGGUAUCAUUCAAGGUAUAUAACAUAUUGCUACAAAAUAAUAUUGCUAAGUGAAGGAAGUUUAAUUUGAUCAUAAUGUUUUGAUGUGUUAGGUAAAAUGAACUUCUCCGAGUUUCACAAGAAAAUUGGGUUGAACAAGCACAUUGUAUCAAGGGGUAGAUACGCCGAGUUCCCUACGUGUGGACAUAGACCCCUGAGGUAAGUAAUUAGAGAUAUCGGUAUACUGGGGUAGAUUCGUCAAUGUGAGUUUCAGUUCGGGCUGCGACUGAGCUGGAUUGAGCCAACUAAUACCCUAGUGAAUAAUUAGCUACAUUGCAUGGUUGUUUUUUUAGGCCGGACGAGAAAGCCCUUCUGGAGAACCAAACUAUGUACUGGUACAAAAUAUAUCGCGAUAGAGCAGCAUUGUCUCGUAACAUGAGCGUGAGUAGUAAUCCAUUUUCGAAACCAUACUAUUCUCUAAUAUAUAAAGUUCGAUCCACAUUUUUUGGUCCUAAAUUUAUCUCAUUGACAUCGAUCGAUGGACAGAUAGAAGAUACGGAAAAGGUGGCACAAGGCAGAGUAUGGAGUGGAGAGGAAGCGGUUUCAAACGGUUUAGCAGAUGCAGUUGGCGGUAUGGCUCGGGCUAUAGCCAUCGCCAAGCACAAGGCUAAUAUCCCCCUCGAUAAACCCGUGAGUGGACUGGACCGUGGUUCAUAGAGGCUCUUGUUAUCUGUACUUCACCUACUUUGUUAUGUUCAAAAAUAUUUAAUUUUGCUUGUGCUGUAUAAUGUAUGCAGGUAAAGAUUGUGGAGCUAUCGAAACCGAAUUCGUCACUGCCGGAGUACAUAGCUGCUUUCGGGACUACUAUAGCUGGACUAGGCAGAGGAUCAGCGAUGGUAUCGGCAUACAGCGGUGCUCAAGCUCGACUCGAUGGGGGGGAUUCCGACAACCCGAUUUUUGCUAUAAUGAAGUAUUUUCUCGAGUUCAGUCAGACCGGGGCGGUGCAGGGCUCUAUGAAUGAGCUCUUGUAAGUUCAUAUUUGGAGAGACCUGGGACGGAUUUGUCUGUGACCAAUAAUCGAGUUUCAUCUAUGGUUACAUUUGAAUGAAACAUAUUAUCUUAAUAAACAAAAUAUGUCGGGAGUUUCAUAAUUUGGUACAUGCUUCUGAAAUAUUCCUGAAUUCCAUCCCCUUUAUUUUUUACAUUAAUUAUGUUAAGAUUUAAAAAUUGGACCCCAAUUAGAAUACCGUCAUAAUUAUUAUAACAACUCAAUUACUUUACAAUUUCGAUAACGUUAUUAAAUUAGUGUCUAAUGGUGAAAGAUGCUGUAACAGCUUGAUAUGUUGUUGAAUAAUUUUAGAACAUUAUAAACUCCCCGGGGACACUGACGGAUACAUGAGGAGCCAGGGUGAGUCCCGGUUGACUCCAUCUUCGGUCCCGAACAUUGAAAUCGAGCAUAUUUUUAUGAUUUUCUUAAAUCUGGCGCAGUGUAUUCGGUGAUAUUUAAAGUUUUAUUCUCCCAAUCGUGGUAUUUUUAACUCUGGCUUCGAAAUUACUUGAUCCUGCUCAGUGUAUAUGUUUCAAUUUUUAUUCCGCCCUUGGUCCUUUAGUAUUAUAAAAUACGAAAAUUUUAAUAACGAUAUGCAACCUUUUGUUCAAUAUUUCUUAUAUUAUGAAUCCCAAUUAGUAGAAAUCUCGCUACCGGCUACACCACUAAUUUCUAUUUAUAAAUGAGUUAUUAUAUAUAUAAUGAGGUAUCGGUACCUUAUAUACUAAAAACCUCAUAUUUUUAAAAUUAAAAAAUUAAAAAAUAAAUCCUAAAGUCUUUAUACCUUAUAUACUAAAAACCUCAUAUUUUUAAAUAAAUCCUAAAGUCUUUAUAUUAAAUCCUAAAUACUAGAGAAUGAUGCUAACGCCUAAACACUAAAUUAUAACCCUCAAACACUGCAUUAUAAAUUCAAACUCAAAAUCGUAUCACAAACUCUAACUGUUGAUCAUAAAUCAAGAUUAAUAGAUCCUAAACCCUUAUCAAACUCUAACAGCUAACACUAUACCCAGAUGGCUAACACAAACCUUCAACCUUAAAAUUUUUAAUUUUAAACACAAAAUAAAAUAAAAUUUAAUAUAUAGGGUACCGACACCUGAUACCAAUUUUUUUCCAUAUAUAUAUAAGAAAAAGCAUAAAAGUUAUACAUCAACAAAAAUAUAGCUGAGGGAACAAACCGCAGCAACAAUCACAAAAUUACAAGGCUCUAUAACUUAGUAGCGACCUUCAAAAACACCUUACACCACUAGUUGUAGUGAAGGUUUACAUCAACUAGACUUUUUUUUUGAAAACAAAACUACACUAUUUCUUCUCAACCGUGCUUGAAUAACUCUCGCCCGAGUGUUGAUUCAGGAGGCGUUGGGACGUGGAUUUAGGGCGCUUGACAUCAUCGAUGACUCAACGACGUCUAUCGUCGUCAGAUUUUUGUCAAAAAAACAAUACUAUUUCAAAUAACAUUUGAGAUAUCUCAUGCCAAAUGAACCAUGGUGUCCCACCCGCAUGACUGCUUUGAUUUGUCAUUACCCUAGUUUAAGGUUUUACCCAGAUAUUCCAAUCCCGUUAGACUGAUAUGCUUAAUUAAUUGCUAGGAUAUCCACAUCGGUUUCAAUUUUAAUUAAUCUUUUUCUAAUUGUCCGCUAAUUAAUUAAUGCUCGCUCACUGCAUGUCAAGCUAGCCAAUGGUUUUUUGGUUUCUAUUUACUUAAUUGUCUUCUGCAACAAAACAAAAACUUAUUAAAACAAACGGAGAGGAAACAAACGACAUGCAGAGACCGUUGGACCCAAAUUGAAGAAAGUAAAGCCGCCGUUACAUUGCUGCAUGCAUAAAGCAAUUUUUUCCACCGGUCCGCUCUAUAAAAUGUACUAAGUGGGGAGUCUUUCUCCUAAUCACCAACUUUCUCAGUUUCUUUCUUCCCAUCGAAAACCCCCCCUUCGCCGGAGAAAUGGCUGAGCUAAAACAAUUACUAAACCCUCCCAAUAUCCCCUGCCGCCACCGUACCUCUGCCUCACUCCUCUCCAUCCCAAACAAAAACUUCCUCCGCCAGCCGCUUCCUCAAUCAACCGCCGCCAUCCGCCGCCGCCACAUCCAACUCAAUCACCACGGUUCCCUCUUUUCAUCUCCCCACUCCAUGAUCAAAAGAAACCCAUCUCCAAUUCAAGCUUUCGAUUCCGCCGAAACAGAGGUCAUCACCAUCGACUCCAACAACGGCGCCACCGCCGUCGGCCCUGUAGAACCUGCACCAACCAGGUUUCAAAAACAGGCGGCGGCCAAGGACGAGUUACCCGGAGAAGGGUGUCCGGCGUUCGAAAUCCGAAACAAAGAAAUCGAGGGAUGGGAGAAGUUGCUUCUGAAGCUCCGGCUGCUUGUCGCUCCUCCGUGGCAGAGAGUUGCUCAUGGCAGCGUUCUGUGUAUCGACUUAGGCGGACCGGUCUGUGACCCUGUGUUAAUUAAUUAAAUCUCUUUUUGUUGAUUAAUUUUUAGUGUAUUUUGGUUCGUUUUCCUGACGAUUUUGUGAAUUUUUUUGGUUGCGUGCAUGUUCUAGAUAUCGGACGUUAAAGGACGGUGGUUAUCGCCGGCACUGACGCUGCCGGAGAUUUGUGAGAAUUUCGCCAAGGCGGCGAACGAUCCUCGGAUUUCGGGGAUUCUUGUGAGGUUCAACUUCAUAGAGUGUGGGUGGGCGAAAUUGGAUGAAAUUCGUCGCCAUAUUUUGGAAUUCCGGAAAUCAGGUUCCACUAAUUAACCAUUUCAGUCAGUUAAUCGGUUAAUGAUUUUAAAUACCUUAUUACCUUUGACCCGAUGAAUUUAAACUGACUGUGUCUCAUAAUUUGUUCACGGUUAUAUCUAAUUUGGUCACGGUUAAGGGCUAAAAUCGAUUAGAACGGUCGAACCAACACCAAUCCAGUUGGUUUAUGGAUAAUAGAUUUGAAAUCUUUUUAAUCCACUGUCUGACCGAAAUCCAUCAAUUAUUAACCAACCGACCAACUCCCUCUCAGAAAGUCAAUGAUAACACAACUACUCACCAACAAUACAAAUGGACAAUAAUUAAGGGGUCAGAAUCGGAUCGGGAUACCGGUCAAACCAGGGAAUGUUGUCCAAAUCUAUGUAUUUUGUAGAUCUAACCCCGACCUGAUUUUAUUUAGUCCUGACUUUCUGACUCGAAUCAUGAUUUAACCGGGCUGAGUCGGGCCCAGUGGAGAAUUUUAUAUAGAGUUUUGUCAGUGGUCGAUGAUCGAGGUUAAUUAUCUUUUCUAAUCGAAUAACUGUGCAUUUCGGUUUUGGGCAGGAAAAUUUGUGGUUGGUUACAUGUAUGCCUUUUGGGAGAAAGAGUAUUACCUUGGUUGUGCAUGUGACGAAUUAUAUGCACCUACAUUGGCUCCCUUCUCUUUGUAUGGCUUCACUCUACCUGCGG
Molecule: long non-coding RNA, 5923 nt
Filed under: Linum usitatissimum (flax)
Lineage: Eukaryota; Viridiplantae; Streptophyta; Magnoliopsida; Malpighiales; Linaceae
Description: long non-coding RNA (LUSI_LNC007833)
Source: RNAcentral